Molecule: ribosomal RNA, 478 nt
Filed under: uncultured bacterium
Lineage: Bacteria
Description: partial 16S ribosomal RNA
Rfam family: Bacterial small subunit ribosomal RNA
Source: RNAcentral
GACGAACGCUGGCGGCGUGCUUAACACAUGCAAGUCGAACGGUAAGGCCCUUCGGGGUACACGAGUGGCGAACGGGUGAGUAACACGUGGGUGAUCUGCCCUGCACUUCGGGAUAAGCCUGGGAAACUGGGUCUAAUACCGGAUAGGACCACUGCCUGCAUGGGUGGUGGUGGAAAGCUUUUGUGGUGUGGGAUGGGCCCGCGGCCUAUCAGCUUGUUGGUGAGGUAACGGCUCACCAAGGCGACGACGGGUAGCCGGCCUGAGAGGGCGACCGGCCACACUGGGACUGAGACACGGCCCAGACUCAUACGGGAGGCAGCAGUGGGGAAUAUUGCGCAAUGGGCGAAAGCCUGACGCAGCAACGCCGCGUGAGGGAUGACGGCCUUCGGGUUGUAAACCUCUUUCAGCAGGGAAGAAGCGAAAGUGACGGUACCUGCAGAAGAAGCACCGGCUAACUACGUGCCAGCCGCCGCGGUAA